UUCUCUUGCUCUAGAUGAUCCAUCAGUCUUGCAGAGUUGGCUCUAGUGUAGUACCAGUGAGUCAGCUUGUCUUCAAAAUAAAUAUAGAGCACAGAGUUAGACCACAGGACCAGAAGCCGGGAACAAAACCUGCUUAUGCAUAUGAUGCAUGCAAUGCUUGUGCAUAUGAUUUUUUUUUUUAUUUUCAAAGGAACUUUUAGGGUUUUAUUUACAAAUUUUGGAAAUAUUAACUGUUUAUCACAUAUGGAAAUAUCUCAUCAAAUUAUAUCAGGGAAAAGAAGUACAACAUUGUCAAUCGUAUACAAGAGGAAAGGAAAAUAAUCAUCCUAUGGAUCCCUAGAAGCUCGG
Molecule: long non-coding RNA, 348 nt
Filed under: Lathyrus oleraceus (garden pea)
Lineage: Eukaryota; Viridiplantae; Streptophyta; Magnoliopsida; Fabales; Fabaceae
Description: Pisum sativum (pea) long non-coding RNA (PSAT_LNC024364)
Source: RNAcentral